AAAUUGAAGAGUUUGAUCAUGGCUCAGAUUGAACGCUGGCGGCAGGCCUAACACAUGCAAGUCGAACGGUAACAGGAAGCAGCUUGCUGCUUCGCUGACGAGUGGCGGACGGGUGAGUAAUGUCUGGGAAACUGCCUGAUGGAGGGGGAUAACUACUGGAAACGGUAGCUAAUACCGCAUAACGUCGCAAGACCAAAGAGGGGGACCUUCGGGCCUCUUGCCAUCGGAUGUGCCCAGAUGGGAUUAGCUUGUUGGUGGGGUAACGGCUCACCAAGGCGACGAUCCCUAGCUGGUCUGAGAGGAUGACCAGCCACACUGGAACUGAGACACGGUCCAGACUCCUACGGGAGGCAGCAGUGGGGA
RNAcentral lists this ribosomal RNA (363 nucleotides) under Escherichia coli. RNAcentral describes it as "bacterial SSU rRNA". It matches the Rfam family "Bacterial small subunit ribosomal RNA", at positions 1 to 360 of the family's 1533-position model. RNAcentral also lists the same sequence under 2 other names. The record is from RNAcentral. Lineage: Bacteria; Pseudomonadati; Pseudomonadota; Gammaproteobacteria; Enterobacterales; Enterobacteriaceae.